CCUACGGGAGGCAGCAGUGGGGAAUAUUGGGCAAUGGAGGAAACUCUGACGCAGCAACGCCGCGUGAAUGAUGAAGGUCUUCGGAUUGUAAAGUUCUUUUCUAAGGGAAGAAGAAAGUGACGGUACCUUAGGAAUAAGCCUCGGCUAACUACGUGCCAGCAGCCGCGGUAAUACGUAGGAGGCAAGCGUUAUCCGGAAUGACUGGGCGUAAGGGGUGCGUAGGUGGUUUGACAAGUUUGUAGAGUAACUCCGAGGCUUAACCUCGGCACUACUACCAAAACUGUUGGACUCGAGUGCAGGAGAGGCAAAUGGAAUUCCUAGUGUAGCGGUGAAAUGCUUAGAUAUGACGAAGAACCCCGAUUGCGAAGGCAGCUUGCUGCAGCGUAACUGACGCUGAUGCUCGAAAGCGCGGGUAUCGAACAGGAUUAGAUACCCCUGUAGUC
RNAcentral lists this ribosomal RNA (443 nucleotides) under uncultured bacterium. RNAcentral describes it as "partial 16S ribosomal RNA". It matches the Rfam family "Bacterial small subunit ribosomal RNA", at positions 338 to 795 of the family's 1533-position model. The record is from RNAcentral.